This 472-nucleotide ribosomal RNA is filed under the name uncultured soil bacterium. Its description in RNAcentral is "bacterial SSU rRNA". It matches the Rfam family "Bacterial small subunit ribosomal RNA", at positions 26 to 518 of the family's 1533-position model. The record is from RNAcentral.
AGGACGAACGCUGGCGGCGUGCUUAACACAUGCAAGUCGAGCGGUAAGGCCUUUCGGGGUACACGAGCGGCGAACGGGUGAGUAACACGUGGGUGAUCUGCCCUGCACUUCGGGAUAAGCCUGGGAAACUGGGUCUAAUACCGGAUAUGACCUCCUAUCGCAUGGUGGGUGGUGGAAAGAUUUAUCGGUGCAGGAUGGGCCCGCGGCCUAUCAGCUUGUUGGUGGGGUAAUGGCCUACCAAGGCGACGACGGGUAGCCGACCUGAGAGGGUGACCGGCCACACUGGGACUGAGACACGGCCCAGACUCCUACGGGAGGCAGCAGUGGGGAAUAUUGCACAAUGGGCGAAAGCCUGAUGCAGCGACGCCGCGUGAGGAUGACGGCCUUCGGGUUGUAAACCUCUUUCAGCAGGACGAAGCGCAAGUGACGGUACCUGCAGAAGAAGACACCGCAACUACGUGCCAGCAGCCGA